CUUGCUUCAGCAGCAAUAUACUAAAAAAUUGGAAUGAUACAGAGAAGAUCUGCAUGGUCCCUGCUCAAGGAUGACAUACAGAUCUGUGAAGUGUUCCAUAUUUUU
This is a small nuclear RNA of Monodelphis domestica (gray short-tailed opossum), 105 nucleotides long. The record is from Ensembl. Lineage: Eukaryota; Metazoa; Chordata; Mammalia; Didelphimorphia; Didelphidae.